This 253-nucleotide ribosomal RNA is filed under the name uncultured bacterium. Its description in RNAcentral is "partial 16S ribosomal RNA". It matches the Rfam family "Bacterial small subunit ribosomal RNA", at positions 524 to 776 of the family's 1533-position model. The record is from RNAcentral.
UACGUAGGUGGCAAGCGUUGUCCGGAUUUACUGGGCGUAAAGGGCGUGCAGGCGGUCUGUUAAGUGCAGGGUGAAAGCUCCCGGCUCAACUGGGAGAGGUCCUUGCAUACUGGCGGACUUGAGGGGGGUAGAGGAAAGUGGAAUUCCCGGUGUAGUGGUGAUAUGCGUAGAUAUCGGGAGGAACACCUGUGGCGAAGGCGGCUUUCUGGGCCAUACCUGACGCUGAGACGCGAAAGCGUGGGGAGCGAACCGG